UAUAAGUAUAUCAAUUUAUUUUAAACGAUUAAUUAAUAUUAGUCAGUGUUUGGUUUCUUCACUUGUGAAAAGUGAAGGUAAAUGCUCACAAAAUUUUGAAAGCGAAAGUAGCCAAAUAACUUGUCGCAGGUAUAAGGUCCCAGAUUUGUAUAUAGGUAUAUUUGGGAGCGGAAUAUAAUGUAAAUGUUGAUGGGGGGAAGCAGAUGUUUUCGUGUAUAAUAGAGCAAGUGACGCAGUACAAAGUGAUGCCGCACAAGGCCACUGAGAGUUUAGUAUAUUCCAAAACGUAGAAGAGAGUAGACGUUAUAUUUCAAUAUUUUUGAUUUUGUUUGCAUCAUGGCUACGAGUGGGAAGAAGUGCGUUUUUAACUGUAGCAUGAUCAGUGAAAAAAUUAUAAUUUUCGAAAAAGACAAAUUAAAAAAGUGCCAACAUAUUUCUAAAGUUCGUAUCGCUUUUGAUUUGAAAUAGUGAUAUUGUGUUACCAGAAAUAGUGGACGGUGUCAGUGGUUAUCAUCGACUUUGCUAUAAAGCAUUUACAUCCAUCCAAAAUAAAUAUUUGGAUAAAUAUAACGAGAACAAUCAAUUGGAAGUAGCAAAAUCACCACAAGGCCACACGUCCAUUGAGGCAUCUGCGUCUCCGCAGGCCGAACAUUCGGCAGUGAGUAAUCAAUCCAUAGGGGAUGAUUUUCCGCAAGGUUCCAUAUCUAUUAUUUCACAAUGUGACAAUUCAGCUGAAAAAAAAUGACGAUAACGUUCGGCCGUCUGAUGUAUUCAGUGACAGUCAACUUUCACAUGAACAAUUAGAUGUGGAACGACAACCUGGAAAUUCAAAAUUAAAGAUUGCAGGUAUCUGUUUGUUUUGUAAUCAAGCAAGGAAGAAGCAAGGGCAAACAGCGCUUCUUUUGAUACGAUCUGAAAGUGAAAUUUUAAUUGAAAAAAUUGUCACAAAUGCAACUGCCUUAAAUGACUAUGAAAUAUUAUCGAAAAUCGAGAGAUUAGGGGAUAAUCGUGUUGUUUAUUACCAUAAUACAUGUAAAUUAAUGUAUUUUAAAAAAUACAUAGCGGCUCCGGAGCCAAAACAGUCAGAUUGGCAUAUUGCAAAAACGUUCAUGAGUUAGUUGACAAUGAACUGUAUUCUUUUAUCGCUGAAAAUACGAUAGGAAGGAAGCAAUGCUGAUCUUUGAAAUUUUUAGUACAGUACGCCAAAAGUGCGUUGUAUAAAUUGUUUUCGGAGAAAUAUGAUAGUUUCGAAACUUAAUAACAAGGACCAAAUAUAUUGCCACAAUAUGGAAAAAUGCUCAUAAGAAAAUUCCAUCAUAUUUACGACCAGAAACUUGCGGAUGGAUAUUAGUAGAGGGAAAGUAUACAUUUAAAUGGUUCGACGGACCACAGCUGCCUAGUACAAUACAAGAUAUUAUUGAUCCUGGAACAAACGAAGGCGAUGAAGACGUUAAUGCAGAAAGCGAAUCAAAUGAAGAUGAAUAUAGCGAUAGCGAAGGAGAUAUCACGUCCGAAUCAGAUUCCGAUUGCGAAUGUGACUAAUAAUGUUGAUGUGUAGCGCACUUUUUAACGUCGUCUGCCGCGGCCUUAGCCCUCACUUUUUUGUCUGCCAUUUUGUAAAUGACUUUUGGAAUGUUUAAACUUUAAAAUACAAUAAUUGGAAUUCAUGUACCUUAUGCUUUUUUUUUAAUUAAUUUUUGCAAUCUUCAGCGCAGUUUGCCGGCGAGUUAGCUCCUCGCAAAAUGUCUGCCAAUUUUUUUACACUUUCUCAAAUAUAUAACCAAAUUUUUCCCGUACAUAGAAUCCCUGUACCUUAUGAAUUUUUUCCCACCCAAAAUUCACCCCUUUCACUGCGUAUCCCCCCUUUGCGCCCCAGUUUUGCAAUGGCAGACAUUCAUUUUUAUAUUCGUCUACACUAAUACUAUUAUUUUCAAUAUAAAUUAGCCAUGUACCUGAUGCGGGCACUUUCAUGUAGCCAGCUCUUAGACUAUUAUUAAGGUAUUUGUUUAUUUAUUACGCCCAGCCAUUGUUUUGUAUUAAAACAAAAAUUAUUUUCAUAGAACUUUCUCAACGAAUUACUUACAUUUUGUACCAUACAAAAAAAAAAGUUUGCAUA
Anastrepha ludens (Mexican fruit fly) is the source of this 2116-nucleotide long non-coding RNA. RefSeq lists it as uncharacterized. The transcript is spliced from 5 exons. The record is from RefSeq and is a predicted model, not a curated record. Lineage: Eukaryota; Metazoa; Arthropoda; Insecta; Diptera; Tephritidae.